UUUCCGUAGGUGAACCUGCGGAAGGAUCAUUACUGAGUGAGGGCCCCUCGGGGUCCAACCUCCCACCCGUGUUUAACGAACCUUGUUGCUUCGGCGGGCCCGCCUCACGGCCGCCGGAGGGCAUCUGCCCCCGGGCCCGCGCCCGCCGAAGCCACCUGUGAACGCUGUCUGAAGUAUGCAGUCUGAGACAAUUAUUAAAUUAAUUAAAACUUUCAACAACGGAUCUCUUGGUUCCG
Molecule: unclassified non-coding RNA, 236 nt
Filed under: plant metagenome
Description: partial contains small subunit ribosomal RNA, internal transcribed spacer 1, and 5.8S ribosomal RNA
Source: RNAcentral